CAGCAGCCAGAGAGGCAGGAGUUCCUGGAGUAGGGAUGCGAGAAGCAGUGAGACCCGCAGCCUCUCUCUUCCCUGGUGUAGAGAGGAAUAACAGGAACAUGGCAUCUGUCUCUGGGUCCUAAGAAGACAACAGGAUGGUGGUAUCAUCAGCAGUAGCAGCAGAUCACUUUGGGCUUGUCGGCACUGUGACAGCAACAAGUCCAAGCAUGCAGAGCCCACCAGUGCCUGCAGCCAUGCGCCAGACCCAGAA
Alligator sinensis (Chinese alligator) is the source of this 250-nucleotide long non-coding RNA. RefSeq lists it as uncharacterized. The record is from RefSeq and is a predicted model, not a curated record. The transcript has 3 exons. NCBI's taxonomy places the organism in Eukaryota, Metazoa, Chordata, Crocodylia, Alligatoridae.